UUUCGGCCACAUCACGUUGAAAUACCAGUUCUCGGACGAAUACUAAAGUUAAACAACGUCGAGCCAGGUCAGUAGCUUGAUGGGUGACCGCUUGGAAAUAUCAAGUGCUGUAA
Acanthosepion pharaonis is the source of this 113-nucleotide non-coding RNA. The record is from the annotation of a GenBank genome assembly. NCBI's taxonomy places the organism in Eukaryota, Metazoa, Mollusca, Cephalopoda, Sepiida, Sepiidae.